UAGUGUGAUUGUUCUUACAAUUUAUAAACCUGUUGCUUCCAACCAUGUUUAGAAUGGAAGAAACCUUUUGAAAGAGAGGUGAAACUUCUAUUAGAAACAAGAGAAGAAGUCCAGUUGCCUUUAACUUAAGCACUUAGGAUGGCUAGCAGCAGUCAUUCAAUAAAUUAGAAUGUGUCGGGGUCUGGGAAACUUGUUGCCUGCUGCUUACUGUGCUUACUCACCAGAUGGCGGCGGAGCUCCUUGUGGAGGUGUGCAACAGGUGUCGCUCAUUAUCAAUCAGGUCCUGAGGUUUAAAAGGAGCGAGCAGCAAGCACUUUGUUGCCUGAGUGUUUGCUAGUAGUGGUAACUUACUGGCCAAGUUAAGCUUGCUUUAAAUACUGAGUUUUUGUCUCCCAAGAACUUACCUUUUGUCUAUGCCCUUCCACAUGUCUUCCGGACCUCCAGGCUCCAGUCUUGGUGUUGUUCCUCUGGCAGAUCCCAAGUAUUCCUGACUUCAAGCUCCCUCGCUUACUAAGGUCCAGCUGGCUGACUCCAAGCUCCAAACCUCCAAACAACCUGCAUGCGAACAUAAUCCACCCUCCAACAGGAUUUCAACUCCUACCUGCACAACAGACAUCCGGCAACCUCCCAGGCUCCGCUUCAUCUUUUCCCCCCUCUGAAGACUUCCUUCAGCUCCACUCCGUAAGCAAACAAGACGUUCAAACUUCUAAAUUCACCUCUGAACCCCUCAUCCACUUACCUGUUCUCCCUCUCCAUGCAGCUGGUGUGCUUCCAGUCCUGGGUCUGUUAUCUGUUAAAGGAAAAUAAACUGUUAAACCUU
Girardinichthys multiradiatus is the source of this 820-nucleotide long non-coding RNA. RefSeq lists it as uncharacterized. The record is from RefSeq and is a predicted model, not a curated record. Lineage: Eukaryota; Metazoa; Chordata; Actinopteri; Cyprinodontiformes; Goodeidae. The transcript has 2 exons.